RNAcentral lists this transfer RNA (135 nucleotides) under Candidatus Woesearchaeota archaeon. Its description in RNAcentral is "tRNA-Leu". The record is from RNAcentral. Lineage: Archaea; Nanobdellati; Candidatus Woesearchaeota.
GCGGGGGUGGCAGAGCUGGUCAAUUUGGUGUUCAAGGUUUUUACUACAAUCUAAACAUUGGAUAUCAGACCAGAUGCGCAGGACUCAGAAUCCUGUCUCUUAGUGAGUGCGCGUGUUCAAAUCACGUCCCCCGCA